This 740-nucleotide ribosomal RNA is filed under the name uncultured Hyphomicrobiales bacterium. Its description in RNAcentral is "bacterial SSU rRNA". It matches the Rfam family "Bacterial small subunit ribosomal RNA", at positions 8 to 796 of the family's 1533-position model. The record is from RNAcentral. Lineage: Bacteria; Pseudomonadati; Pseudomonadota; Alphaproteobacteria; Hyphomicrobiales.
AGAGUUUGAUCCUGGCUCAGAACGAACGCUGGCGGCAGGCUUAACACAUGCAAGUCGAACGCACCGCAAGGUGAGUGGCAGACGGGUGAGUAACGCGUGGGAACGUGCCCUUCAGUUCGGGAUAACCCAGGGAAACUUGGGCUAAUACCGGAUACGUGCGAGAGCAGAAAGAUUCAUCGCUGAAGGAUCGGCCCGCGUCUGAUUAGCUAGUUGGUAGGGUAAUGGCCUACCAAGGCGACGAUCAGUAGCUGGUCUGAGAGGAUGAUCAGCCACAUUGGGACUGAGACACGGCCCAAACUCCUACGGGAGGCAGCAGUGGGGAAUAUUGGACAAUGGGCGCAAGCCUGAUCCAGCCAUGCCGCGUGAGUGAUGAAGGCCUUAGGGUUGUAAAGCUCUUUCGUCCGGGACGAUAAUGACGGUACCGGAAGAAGAAGCCCCGGCUAACUUCGUGCCAGCAGCCGCGGUAAUACGAAGGGGGCUAGCGUUGUUCGGAAUCACUGGGCGUAAAGGGCGCGUAGGCGGCCUGAUAAGUCGGGGGUGAAAGCCUGUGGCUCAACCACAGAAUUGCCUUCGAUACUGUCGGGCUUGAGACCGGAAGAGGUAAGUGGAACUGCGAGUGUAGAGGUGAAAUUCGUAGAUAUUCGCAAGAACACCAGUGGCGAAGGCGGCUAACUGGUCCGGUUCUGACGCUGAGGCGCGAAAGCGUGGGGAGCAAACAGGAUUAGAUACCCCAGUAGUCC